Non-coding RNA from Triticum aestivum (bread wheat), 73 nucleotides. The record is from Rfam. Lineage: Eukaryota; Viridiplantae; Streptophyta; Magnoliopsida; Poales; Poaceae.
GAAAGCCGUAUUCAAUGAAAGUCGUAUGUACGGCUUGGAGGGAGAUCUUUCCUAAGUUGCUUUCUACUCAAAU